CCUACGGGAGGCAGCAGUCGAGAAUCAUUCACAAUGGGGGAAACCCUGAUGGUGCGACGCCGCGUGGGGGAAUGAAGGUCUUCGGAUUGUAAACCCCUGUCAUGUGGGAGCAAAUUAAAAAGAUAGUACCACAAGAGGAAGAGACGGCUAACUCUGUGCCAGCAGCCGCGGUAAGACAGAGGUCUCAAGCGUUGUUCGGAAUCACUGGGCGUAAAGCGUGCGUAGGCUGUUUCGUAAGUCGUGUGUGAAAGGCGCGGGCUCAACCCGCGGACGGCACAAGAUACUGCGAGACUAGAGUAAUGGGGGGGGAACGGGAAUUCUCGGUGUAGCAGUGAAAUGCGUAGAUAUCGAGAGGAACACUCGGGGCGAAGGCGGGUUCCUGGACAUUAACUGACGCGGAGGCACGAAGGCCAGGGGAGCGAAAGGGAUUAGAUACCCUGGUAGUC
This 446-nucleotide ribosomal RNA is filed under the name uncultured bacterium. RNAcentral's name for it is "partial 16S ribosomal RNA". It matches the Rfam family "Bacterial small subunit ribosomal RNA", at positions 338 to 795 of the family's 1533-position model. The record is from RNAcentral.